This 253-nucleotide ribosomal RNA is filed under the name uncultured bacterium. Its description in RNAcentral is "partial 16S ribosomal RNA". It matches the Rfam family "Bacterial small subunit ribosomal RNA", at positions 524 to 776 of the family's 1533-position model. The record is from RNAcentral.
UACGUAUGGUGCAAGCGUUAUCCGGAUUUACUGGGUGUAAAGGGAGCGCAGGCGGCACGGCAAGCCUGAUGUGAAAGCCCGCGGCCCAACCGCGGGACUGCAUUGGGAACUACCGGGCUGGAGUGCCGGAGAGGUAGGCGGAAUUCCUAGUGUAGCGGUGAAAUGCGUAGAUAUUAGGAGGAACACCAGUGGCGAAGGCGGCCUACUGGACGGUGACUGACGUUGAGGCUCGAGAGCGUGGGGAGCAAACAGG